UUGAUCUCCAUAAAAAACAACCAGUUAAAAAAAAAAAAGACAAAGCCACACUGAGACGCUCGAUAACUGUUUGACUCCAGCUCAUCAGUUUCUGCAACGAGUCUAAAGCUCAAAUGUUAACCUGCAGAUGCCAGGUCUCCAUGUUUCCACAGGCCUGGGAUGGAGAGGGAAGAGUUAAUAGUCCAUCAGGGAGCUGAGGUCUUUGAUUGUGAUCACAUUGAUAAUUUUCCUUCCAUUAAGAUGUUGAAGCCUUGUGGCUGUUCUAAGGAUGACAGUAACACUUUAGUAAAUAAUGGUCUCUCCUGGCAUAAAAAUGCUGUAUUGUGACGGUAAGAAAGGAAAAAGAGAGAGGAGCUUGGCCUCUUACCCCUAUCUGCAUGCGCAGUGCUGCUGUCCCUGGUGCUGAUAUUUUCAUAGGCACACACCGUGGACCAUGGCAGAAUUUCCAGGAACGCUAGAUGUAUUUGUACUAUUUUUAUGUCUACUGAUUGAAAACUGAACAAAGGAAGUUCAUUUAUUCAACACGUGUUUGUGGAGCACCUGUUUAGACAAUGCAGGGGGGACUGGCUGCGUGGGAAGUGGCAACAGAAAUGGAAACUGUGAUCCUUGCUCUGGAGGUCUUUGCUGCUCCAACUGUAGUCUGAAACCCAGCACAUCGAGAGUUUAAUGAAACUCCUCCGUGAUAUGGCUGCCUCAGCAUCAAUUUUGUGCGGCCAAGCGGCCUGCAGGGGCCUUCAACUGACCCUCAUGCAAGCAGAUGACCUGGAUAACAGCCCCCAGGGUCACAAGUAAAUCUGUUCACCAUUUGAAGAGGCCAUCACAAUGCUCAGAAGAUGAUCAAAGAAGCUACUUAAGAAUAACAUGCUGCCUUUUUAAAAAACCAAUGCCCACGCUGAACUCAGAAUGGUAAUGAGCUCAGGCAGGAGCCCAACUGAGACCUCCACGGCCGUCCCACCCAGCUGGGAUAUUUGCAUUUUAUACAAACCAUUUUAUGAUGCUAUAAAUUUCACAUUUUUAUAGUUACAGGUCUUAAUCAUCAUGAAUACCAUUUCUGCACGUAUCUUUGGUAAACGGAAUUAAAAUCUCCUCAUGAUCUGAAAAUGCUAAAUUGUUAAUAGCUUUUCUAGGGCUCUGUGGCUUGUUUUGACCUCUGAUGAUUUCAUCAUUGUUUCUGCAUAUAAAAAUCACAAUUU
Molecule: long non-coding RNA, 1193 nt
Filed under: Equus caballus (horse)
Lineage: Eukaryota; Metazoa; Chordata; Mammalia; Perissodactyla; Equidae
Description: lncRNA (ENSECAG00000049291.1)
Source: RNAcentral